RNAcentral lists this ribosomal RNA (497 nucleotides) under uncultured bacterium. Its description in RNAcentral is "partial 16S ribosomal RNA". It matches the Rfam family "Bacterial small subunit ribosomal RNA", at positions 28 to 507 of the family's 1533-position model. The record is from RNAcentral.
GACGAACGCUGGCGGCGUGCCUAAUACAUGCAAGUCGAGCGCUGAAGGUUGGUACUUGUACCUACUGGAUGAGCAGCGAACGGGUGAGUAACGCGUGGGGAAUCUGCCUUUGAGCGGGGGACAACAUCUGGAAACGAGUGCUAAUACCGCAUAAAAUCUUUAAACACAAGUUUUAAGUUUGAAAGAUGCAUUUGCAUCACUCAAUGAUGAUCUCGCGGUGUAUUAGCUAGUUUGUGAGGUAAAGGCUUACCAAGGGGAUGAAACAUAGCCGAACUGAGAGGGGGGACCGCCACAAUGGGACUGGGACACGGCCCAAACUCCCUCGGGAGGCAACAAUAGGGAAACUUCCGGAAUGGGGGAAAAGCUGACCGAGCAACGCCGCGUGAGUGAAUAAGGGUCUCGGAUCGGAAAACCCCGGUUGUAGGGAAGAAACUAGGUGGGAGUGGAAAGCGCAUCAAGUGACGGUAACUACUCAGAAAGAGACGGCUAACUACGUG